AGGAUGAACGCUGGCGGCGUGCCUAACACAUGCAAGUCGAACGUCCUUCUUCUUCGGAAGAAGGGAGUGGCGGACGGGUGAGUACCACGUGGGUUAUCUACCGUGAGGUGAGGAAUACCGGCGAGAAAUCGCCGACAAGACCGCAUAGGCUCGAUGCAAGUCGAGCAAAGCUCGCUCGCAAGAGGGAGCGCCACACGGAGGAGCCUGCGCCCGAUUAGCUGGCUGGUGGAGUAAUGGUUCACCAGGGCGACGAUCGGUAGCUGGUCUGAGAGGACGAUCAGCCACACUGGGAUUGAGAACGGCCCAGACUCCUACGGGGGGCAGCAGUGAGGAAUUUUCGUCAAUGGGGCAACCCUGAACGAGCAACGCCGCGUGCAGGAAGAAGGUUUUCGGAUCGUAAACUGCUUUUCUCGGGGAAGAGAACGGACGGUAACCCGAGGAACGAAGCCCCGGCUAACUACGUGCCAGGCAGCCGC
RNAcentral lists this ribosomal RNA (476 nucleotides) under uncultured bacterium. RNAcentral's name for it is "SSU rRNA". It matches the Rfam family "Bacterial small subunit ribosomal RNA", at positions 26 to 518 of the family's 1533-position model. The record is from RNAcentral.